Molecule: ribosomal RNA, 115 nt
Filed under: Danio rerio (zebrafish)
Lineage: Eukaryota; Metazoa; Chordata; Actinopteri; Cypriniformes; Danionidae
Source: RNAcentral
GCCGGCAGCUAGCUCUCUGCAACUCUCACAUGGUCGCCCACUGAAGCUAAGCAGGGCUGCGCCCGGUCAGUUCCUGGAUGGGAGACCACAUGGAAACUUUAGGUUGCUGCCGUAA